UACGAAGGGGGCUAGCUUUGCUCGGAAUCACUGGGCGUAAAGCGCACGUAGGCGGAUUGUUAAGUCAGGGGUGAAAUCCUGGAGCUCAACUCCAGAACUGCCUUUGAUACUGGCGAUCUCGAGUCCGGGAGAGGUGAGUGGAACUGCGAGUGUAGAGGUGAAAUUCGUAGAUAUUCGCAAGAACACCAGUGGCGAAGGCGGCUCACUGGCCCGGUACUGACGCUGAGGUGCGAAAGCGUGGGGAGCAAACAGG
This 253-nucleotide ribosomal RNA is filed under the name uncultured bacterium. RNAcentral describes it as "partial 16S ribosomal RNA". It matches the Rfam family "Bacterial small subunit ribosomal RNA", at positions 524 to 776 of the family's 1533-position model. The record is from RNAcentral.